CAGAAAAUGAAAUAAAAUCAGCCAGCAAAUAUCUUCUGGAAAUACUUUGAUUGCAACAUCAUUUCCAAAAAAGUAUUCCAACAAAUACACCGCCUGUGGGCUUGAGAGGUGGUCUCGCCAGUGAUGACUGCGGUUAUCGCAGUGAACAGAGCGAGGCCAUUCAUCAACUGGCUGCGACACGACCACCUCGGAUCGCACGGAGCCCAAUCAAAGGCUGCAUCAGCUGGUUGCGGAUUCAGCUGGAUGUCUGUGGACUGUCUGGAGACCAGCAAGCAACGCCGGGCGACCGCUGCGUGAGUGAAGUUGAAAGAUGACAGGGCGGUCGCAACGGAGGCAGGGAACAGCGCUGUUGCUAUGACUGACUGCCAUGGGGAC
This is a long non-coding RNA of Gasterosteus aculeatus aculeatus (three-spined stickleback), 375 nucleotides long. The record is from Ensembl. Lineage: Eukaryota; Metazoa; Chordata; Actinopteri; Perciformes; Gasterosteidae.